UAUACUAAAGGAGAGAUACUGUUCAUCUAACAGUGAUUUGGCUCCAAAUGGUUUGACGCUUUUGCCCUCGCUUCAGAUUUUUUUUCCAGCUCUACCUCGGUUCUGGAUACGAUAUCGUCAUUUUGCUCUUUCUUCUACACUCUUCUGACCAUCUUUAUCAAUUGUUGAGAGAGAGAGAGAGAGCGGUUGUGUGUGUUUGCUUCGCACGAGGAGGUAGAGGGAUAGAUUGGAGGGAAAGUUUGAAACCUCAAUCCUGGUUGAGAGAGAGAGAGAGAGUUAGAGAGAUCGGUUGUGUUUGUUUGCUUGGGACGUAUUAACUAUAUUUCGUUCUUGGUUUCUACAAGAAAGCACAGUCGAAACAGAGAGAGAGAGAGAGCGAGAGAGAGUCAGAGAGGAAGGAGAUCUACGUCUUGGAUAGCUCUGCCGUGUACCAAUUACGAAACACCCAAUCUACUAUCUUCGGGAAGCCUCUAUCAGCCAUGUAUCGGAAGUGUGCAGAAGAGAAGAGGUUCGUCUGGAUUUCGUAAUAGCGGUCUUCUGCGACAGAGUGAGGCCGAUCCGAGAGAGAGAGAGAGGAAGAGCAGGAGACGGGAAGAGCUCAAUUCAAGUUUUUAUGACAGUCAUCAAAUGUACUACCCAGCCAUCAAACUCUCAGAUAGAAUUUUAGCUUUUUCGCGGAGCCUCGAUCGACAUCCAUCUUCACUAUUUCGUAGGAUAUUUGUCUUUUAUACUGGUGGAUUACAGUUGUCAGUAUUGUGGACUGGAGUAUCUGCCUGUUUUGCUUCCUUGAUUGGAUCUUGCUGUAUCUAGCGUGAAGCUGAUCAUGUAUUAGCCUUUGUUUUUAUUUUAAGUUCUUGAUUGAUUGCUCUGUACUUUUGGUUGUUUUGAGUUCAGAACAUUGGUAUUUGGUAGCAAAAAGAAAUUUGUCUUUGUAUUUAUUUUUAAAUUAGUGUGGUGGCUUUUAACGUUAUGUCACUGAUCAAGUUCUAUAAGAUGAUAUAAUCAAUUAUAGUUUUAACUAAGAUUUGAGAAAUUGAAAUAUUGAGGUUUUAUGUUUUUUAUGGUUUUGUUGUCAAUGGUUUGAAGUUAUGGUUUGAGGUUUACAAUAGUGGUAUGUAUUUCUGAGAAGAAAAUUUUGGCAAGAGUUCAGCAAGAGAAAGUCAUUUGAUGUUUCCAUUUUAGUUUCUUAACAAAUAGGAAACCAAUAUUUUGAUAUUUUGUACUUUUGCUUUUUGAAACAUGGUUAAAGAAUGCAAUGGUGUAAAUAUUGGAAGGUGAAUUUCGUGUGUUGGGGAUAUAUCAGAAUAGUAUCAAAAGUGAUACAUCAUAAAAUAAUUUGAUUGUGACGAAGAUUGAGACUGCACCUAUUUGUCACCUAUUUUCAAAGGUGUUAUCCUGUUUUGAAACAUUGUAUAGCUUUUUUUUUUUUACCUGGUAAGUUGGAGAUAGUUCUCUGUUUUUGCCCUUUGGUUUUGUCUCAAUCACAGUUUGCCAUCGUUUGAUAGUGUUGUUGUGCGAUGGGUGUUUUUGUUAUUUUGGUUUCCUCCCCCUUUUUUUGUUCCCUAGUUAGAAUUUUAAGUUGGUCUUUACUCUGUCAUUAUAAGCUGCACCUCAAGUUUCUUUAACUUUUCCCUUUUCAUUUUCUUUGGGUUCUUCUUCAUCAAUUUUGUUUACUUCUGUAAUGAGAUCAGAAUUAAUUUAUCCUUUUUUGCAGCUCUGAUGCUGUUACUAGAUUUACUGCCCUUGAUCUUCCAUCUAUUUCGUCUUUGACAUAUACCUGCACCCUUUUAUGUUAAUUCCUUUCUCUAUUCAUUAUCAGGUAAUUCAAACUUAGGAACUGUCCAUGGGGUAAAGCUUUGAAGUUCGAACUCGAUAUAAUCUUAGGAAAAAACUCGAUAUAAAGUGUUGAAACACUUAGAAAAUCCUGUACUGGCUUACAAUUUCUAUUACAUCAUUUGAUGCUGCAAUAAACUAGAAUAGAAAUCUCAACAUGAAAAUUUUUGGAUCACUUUAUUUUA
This is a long non-coding RNA of Rosa chinensis, 2018 nucleotides long. RefSeq lists it as uncharacterized. Lineage: Eukaryota; Viridiplantae; Streptophyta; Magnoliopsida; Rosales; Rosaceae. The record is from RefSeq and is a predicted model, not a curated record. The transcript has 4 exons.